This is a non-coding RNA of Manacus vitellinus (golden-collared manakin), 72 nucleotides long. NCBI's taxonomy places the organism in Eukaryota, Metazoa, Chordata, Aves, Passeriformes, Pipridae. The record is from Rfam.
CCCCUGGUGGUCUAGUGGUUAGGAUGCAGCGCUCUCACUGCCACAGCCUGGGUUCCAUUCCCGGUCAGGGAA